UACGUAGGGUGCGAGCGUUUGUCCGGAAUUAUUGGGCGUAAAGGGCUCGUAGGCGGUUUGUCGCGUCGGCUGUGAAAACCUGGGGCUUAACUCCGGGCCUGCAGUGGGUACGGGCAGACUAGAGUGCGGUAGGGGAGAUUGGAAUUCCGUGGUGUAGCGGUGGAAUGCGCAGAUAUCAGGAGGAACACCGAUGGCGAAGGCAGAUCUCCUGGGCCGUAACUGACGCUGAGGAGCGAAAGCAUGGGGAGCGAACAGG
This 256-nucleotide ribosomal RNA is filed under the name uncultured bacterium. Its description in RNAcentral is "partial 16S ribosomal RNA". It matches the Rfam family "Bacterial small subunit ribosomal RNA", at positions 524 to 776 of the family's 1533-position model. The record is from RNAcentral.